AGGGCACCACCAGGAGUGGAGCCUGCGGCUUAAUUUGACUCAACACGGGAAAACUCACCCGGCCCGGACACCGUAAGGAUUGACAGACUGAGAGCUCUUUCUUAAUUCGGUGGGUGGUGGUGCAUGGCCGUUCUUAGUUGGUGGAGCGAUUUGUCUGGUUAAUUCCGAUAACGAACGAGACACUGGCCUAUUAAAUAGUCGGUAUAUCCAGAAAAGUUUACCGUACUUCUUAGAGGGACAAACGGCGUCUAGCCGCGUGAAAUAGAGCAAUAACAGGUCUGUGAUGCCCUUAGAUGUCCGGGGCUGCACGCGCGCUACACUGAAAGAAUCAGUAUGCGCUUUAACCUAGUCCGGAAGGAUUGGGUAACCCGAGCAAAUUCUUUCGUGCUUGGGAUAGGGAAUUGCAAUUAUUUCCCUUAAACGAGGAAUUCCCAGUAAAUGCGGGUCAUAAGCUCGCGUUGAUUACGUCCCUGCCCUUUGUACACACCGCCCGUCGCUACUACCGAUUGGAUGACUUAG
Molecule: ribosomal RNA, 519 nt
Filed under: uncultured eukaryote
Lineage: Eukaryota
Description: SSU rRNA
Rfam family: Eukaryotic small subunit ribosomal RNA
Source: RNAcentral